GCGUGUAGCAUCGUUCUGGGCCGUAGACGUUUAACAGGAGUUUGCAAAGUCAUCGUUUUUUCCUCAGAAGUGACGUAUUCAAUUCAUCCAUAAUCUAUCGUAGCACGAUUAGUCCUGCUGUGACUUUUUUACGAAAUAAAAAACGGUAUAUCACCCGACAGUUGCCGCUUGAGAUGUCUAUCGAAUGCUGUCACUUCGUUGGUCAAGUUAUAAUAAACUCUGGGCUUCUGCAAGGAUGUAUUUGGUAGGAGUUCGUCUUUUGAGUUCCUGUUCUAACGGUAAAGCUUCACGCAUGAUAAAGCUGCUCUCUUUAGCAUUAGGAUCCCCCUUUUUGAUACACUAUAUUUCACCUGACGACCACUCUGCUGUACGGGAUGAGUGCUGACAGUUUCCCGUAUGUUGUUGGCAGUUUUGGUAUAUACUAUGCCUCCUGUGGAUUUCUAAGCAACACGUCAAUUUCCUGACUGAACUCAUUGAAAGUGCAGAUGCUACCCAAUGAUUGAUUGAUUAUAGAUACU
Molecule: long non-coding RNA, 518 nt
Organism: Macrobrachium nipponense
Lineage: Eukaryota; Metazoa; Arthropoda; Malacostraca; Decapoda; Palaemonidae
Exons: 3
Source: RefSeq, a predicted model, not a curated record